UUUACAGAAAGGCUUUACACGCUAUUUAAACUGCCGAUCGCUAACGGAACGAACCGUGAUUGAAACUAACUGUGAUGCCGCUCUUUAAACGUUGUACUGACCGUCAGUGACAGCCCCGCCCCUCUUAAAGCGCCAGACAAAGUUAUCAACGUGGGUUUCCCUGGAUGGAUUUUGUUCGAUUUCUUUGUGAUCUUUGCGGUCCUCUGGCCCACUUUAUACCUGUGGACGAAGGAUUAGGGGCUCUAAUCCCUCGUUGUAUCCGAUGACGGGCAACCCGAGGCCAAGGCCAAGGACUUGACUCAGAGGCCGAGGACCUUUGGUCCUCGAGCUGGUCAUUGGCCUCGAGGACCGGCUCGAGGAACACAUCACUGCCAAAUUUCCAACUAAAUCAACUUUUCAAAUGUCAGCUUCUUUCUCCAACUUUGAAACCAUACAGUCCGCUUCCUGGAGUCAAGUGCUGUUGAAUAAACAUAUCUCCAAAACA
This is a long non-coding RNA of Hippocampus zosterae (dwarf seahorse), 484 nucleotides long. RefSeq lists it as uncharacterized. The transcript is spliced from 2 exons. The record is from RefSeq and is a predicted model, not a curated record. Lineage: Eukaryota; Metazoa; Chordata; Actinopteri; Syngnathiformes; Syngnathidae.